CCCUCAUUGAAGGCCUGGCAGUGGAGGUGAGGGGCACUCCCUGGAGCUCUCUGUGUACCUGCGGCCUUCAGGAGUAUGAUACCAUCCCAUGGCACCUCCAUCUCCCGGUGCGCCACCAUCACUGGGCAUCUCAUCCUGUCCGUGUGUCACCACCCCGUGGCAUUUCCAUCCUCCCAUCUGCCUCCAACCCCAUGGACCCCCCCCUCUGAGCCAGCCUGGAGUCCUGCAGCCCCUUCCUUUGCCAGACUGUCCCCGUGGGGCGGCUGUGUGUCCCCGUGGGGCAGUGGAAGGCCUGGGAGCGCAGGGAUGGAGAUGCAGCUGUGCAGGGUUGGAGCUGCAUCCAUGGAUGGAGCCGUUCCUAUUGAUGGAGCUGCACCCGUGGAUGAGAUGACAGCAGGGAUGGAGCCGUACCCACGGAUGGAGCCAUAUGGAGAUGGAGCUGCGCCCGUACCCACGGAUGGGAUGGAGUGACCCCACGGAUGAGGGCCGUACCCCACAGAUGGGGCCAUGUGGGGACGCAGCCGCACCAACACGAGAUGGUUUCACCUCUCCAAAUCAACACACGCUGCUGCAGCCUCCGCCGUCCUCUCCCUCCACCCCUCCCCGCUCUGCCCCACACGCAGCACCCCGCGGCCAUCCCUGCCCUCCUCACCCCCGGGACCCCCAGCAACGCCACCGCAGCGUUUGCUCGGUGCCGGCCGUUCCUGGAGCUCUCACACCGUGGCCAACUGCACGCUGUGCGCCCGGGGACGUCACGGCCGAUCCCUCGCUCCGCUUCCUCGAAGGCCGUCUGCUGCGUGCCAGGGUGACGCUGGCGGCUCGGGGCUGACCUGCUUUUUCUCCUCCAGCCCUCGCUUUGAAUCCCUCCGGCCGGCCCGGCCCUCUGCACGGCUCCGAGAGCGCCGACGGCUUCCUGUGUGGGCGGUGGAAUUUGGCACCCGGCUGUGGGGAUGGAGCGGCCGAUGUACAACGCCCGGCACCGUGCGCCCAGCAACGCCGUGCAACGAGCAACACCGUGCAUGCAUCCUGCACUGUGCACCCAGCAACACUGCACCCAGCAAUGCUGUGCACCCAGCAAUGCCGUGCAUGCAUCCUGCACUGUGCACCCAGCAAGGCUGUGCAUGCAUCCUGCACUGUGCACCCAGCAACACUGCAGCCAGCAAUGCCGUGCGCCCAUCCUGCACCGCGCAUCCAGCAAUGCCGUGCAUGCAUCAUGCACUGUGCCCCCAGCAACACUGUGCACCCAGCAACACUGCACCCAGCAAUGCUGUGCACCCACCAACGCUGUGAACGCAUCCUGCACCAUGCACACAUCAGUGCUCUGCACCCAGCAAUGCUGUGCACGCAUUCUGCACCGUGCACCCAGCAACACUGUGCACCCACCAAUGCUGUGCAUGCAUCCUGCACUGUGCACACAUCAACGCUGUGCACCCAGCAACAUGACACCCAGCAAUGCUGUGCAUGCAUCCUGCACCACGCACCCAGCAACACUGAGCACCCAGCAGCACGGUGCACACAUCCUGCACCAUGCACACAUCAGUGCUCUGCACCCAGCAAUGCUGUGCACGCAUUCUGCACCGUGCACCCAGCAACACUGUGCACCCACCAAUGCUGUGCAUGCAUCCUGCACUGUGCACACAUCAACGCUGUGCACCCAGCAACAUGACACCCAGCAAUGCUGUGCAUGCAUCCUGCACCACGCACCCAGCAACACUGAGCACCCAGCAGCACGGUGCACACAUCCAGCACCAAUGCACCCACCAACACUGCACCCAGCAAUGCUGUGCAUGCAUCCUGCACCGUGCACCUACCAACGCUGUGCACCCAACCAGCACCGUGCAACCAUCCAGGGCUGUGCGCCCACCCAACACCAUGCACACAUGUGGCACUGUGCACCCAUCCAGCACCCAAAAUCAUGCACCCACCAACUCUGUGCACCACCACCAACGUGCACACAUCACCCACGCAGCACCAUGCACCCACUGUGCACCGUGCUGCACACGGAGGGCACACAUUGCACUUGCUUGCAUGUUGCACACCUGGCAGGCACAUAACAUGUUGCACGCCUAGAGCACGUUGCAUGCUUUGUAUGCAUGUUGCACGUUGAGAACACGCGCUGCAUGCUUUAUAUGCACGUUGCAUGCUGACAACACAUGUUGCAUACUAUAUGCACAUUGCAUGUUGCAUGCUGAGCAUGCGUGUUGCACACCGGUCGUGCAUGCUGCACUGUGCACCCUGCUGACCCCAUGCACCCACCAGCACCGUGCAGGAGCUGCAUGCACCGGGGCUGCCCACACACCCUAAUAGCAACGUGUGGCCUCUCCAGGAAGACCCUUUGUUCCCCCUCCACCCCAUAAGUGCGGUCCCCUCCUCCUUCUGUGCUUAUGGGGGGGGUCCCGGUGCUGCCCAUGCUGUAACCCCAAUAAUGCCCAUGGUGUAACCCCAAUGGUGUCCGUAGUGUAACCCCACUUCUGUCCAUGGGAUACCCCAAUGCUGCCCAUGGUGUACCCCAAUAGUUCCCAUGGUGUACCCCACUACUGCCCGUAGUGUAACCCCAAUAGUGCCCAUAGUGAAACCCCAAUGCUGCCCAUGGUGUAACCCCAAUACUGCUCAUGUUGUAGCCCAAUAGUUCCCAUGUUGUACCCCAAUACUGCCCAUGGUGUAACCCCAAUGGUGCCCGUAGUGUAACCCCACUUCUACCCAUGGUGUACUCCAAUGGUGCCCAUGUUGUACCCCACUACUGCCCACGAUGUACCCCACUACUGCACACAGUGUAACCCCAAUACCGCCCACGGUGUACCCCAAUAAUGCCCAUGCAAUAACCCCAACGCUGCCCAUGGUGUAACCCCACUUCUGCCCAUGGUGUACCCCAAUGGUGCCCAUGUUGUACCCCAAUACUGCCCACGAUGUACCCCAAUGCUGCCCGUAGUGUAACCCCAAUAGUGCCCAUGUUAUAACCCCAAUAGUGCUCAUAGUGUAAUCCCACUUCUACACAUGAUGUACCCCAAUGGUGCCC
Molecule: long non-coding RNA, 3016 nt
Filed under: Gallus gallus (chicken)
Lineage: Eukaryota; Metazoa; Chordata; Aves; Galliformes; Phasianidae
Description: lncRNA (ENSGALG00010026570.1)
Source: RNAcentral